Molecule: ribosomal RNA, 547 nt
Filed under: Debaryomyces hansenii
Lineage: Eukaryota; Fungi; Ascomycota; Pichiomycetes; Serinales; Debaryomycetaceae
Description: eukaryotic LSU rRNA
Rfam family: Eukaryotic large subunit ribosomal RNA
Source: RNAcentral
GCUCAAUUUGAAAUCUGGCACCUUCGGUGUCCGAGUUGUAAUUUGAAGAAGGUAACUUUGGAGUUGGCUCUUGUCUAUGUUCCUUGGAACAGGACGUCACAGAGGGUGAGAAUCCCGUGCGAUGAGAUGCCCAAUUCUAUGUAAAGUGCUUUCGAAGAGUCGAGUUGUUUGGGAAUGCAGCUCUAAGUGGGUGGUAAAUUCCAUCUAAAGCUAAAUAUUGGCGAGAGACCGAUAGCGAACAAGUACAGUGAUGGAAAGAUGAAAAGAACUUUGAAAAGAGAGUGAAAAAGUACGUGAAAUUGUUGAAAGGGAAGGGCUUGAGAUCAGACUUGGUAUUUUGCGAUCCUUUCCUUCUUGGUUGGGUUCCUCGCAGCUUACUGGGCCAGCAUCGGUUUGGAUGGUAGGAUAAUGACUAAGGAAUGUGGCUCUACUUCGGUGGAGUGUUAUAGCCUUGGUUGAUACUGCCUGUCUAGACCGAGGACUGCGUCUUUUGACUAGGAUGUUGGCAUAAUGAUCUUAAGCCACCCGUCUUGAAACACGGACCAAA